Molecule: non-coding RNA, 310 nt
Organism: Xyrichtys novacula (pearly razorfish)
Lineage: Eukaryota; Metazoa; Chordata; Actinopteri; Labriformes; Labridae
Source: the annotation of a GenBank genome assembly
GUCGGCUUUUUAAAACGAAUACAUCAUCUGCAACAGUCGCGCGUGUGUGUGUGUGUGUGUGUGUGUGUGUGUGUGUGUGUGUGUGUGUGUGUGUGUGUGCAUGUGUUUACAGCCAUGUGACUGUCUGAAUACUUCACAAUAUAACACUUGAUUUUAGCAGAGCACAUUCAGAGUGAUGGAUGCUUUCUGUUCUGACUGUGCGACACAUCAGAGCGAGGCGGCGAGUUCCUGCUGAGCAUCACAGCAUCUCCAAAAAUUCAUCAUUUAGACUUCAGGGAGAAGUUUCCUCUAAUGCUUUUAGAAAUGUCUC